RNAcentral lists this ribosomal RNA (894 nucleotides) under Didymella cari. RNAcentral describes it as "eukaryotic LSU rRNA". It matches the Rfam family "Eukaryotic large subunit ribosomal RNA", at positions 162 to 1074 of the family's 3401-position model. Lineage: Eukaryota; Fungi; Ascomycota; Dothideomycetes; Pleosporales; Didymellaceae. The record is from RNAcentral.
CUUUGGCAUUGGCAGCGGUCCAAGUUCCUUGGAACAGGACGUCACAGAGGGUGAGAAUCCCGUACGUGGUCGCUAGCCUUUACCGUGUAAAGCCCCUUCGACGAGUCGAGUUGUUUGGGAAUGCAGCUCUAAAUGGGAGGUAAAUUUCUUCUAAAGCUAAAUACUGGCCAGAGACCGAUAGCGCACAAGUAGAGUGAUCGAAAGAUGAAAAGCACUUUGGAAAGAGAGUUAAAAAGCACGUGAAAUUGUUGAAAGGGAAGCGCUUGCAGCCAGACUUGCCUGUAGUUGCUCAUCUAGGUUUCUACCUAGUGCACUCUUCUAUAGGCAGGCCAGCAUCAGUUUGGGCGGUUGGAUAAAGGUCUCUGUCAUGUACCUCUCUUUGGGGAGAACUUAUAGGGGAGACGACAUGCAAUCAGCCUGGACUGAGGUCCGCGCAUCUGCUAGGAUGCUGGCGUAAUGGCUGUAAGCGGCCCGUCUUGAAACACGGACCAAGGAGUCUAACAUCUAUGCGAGUGUUUGGGUGUCAAGCCCGAGCGCGUAAUGAAAGUGAACGGAGGUGGGAACCUUUCGGGGUGCACCAUCGACCGAUCCUGAUGUCUUCGGAUGGAUUUGAGUAAGAGCAUAGCUGUUGGGACCCCGAAAGAUGGUGAACUAUGCUUGAAUAGGGUGAAGCCAGAGGAAACUCUGGUGGAGGCUCGCAGCGGUUCUGAACGUGCAAAUCGAUCGUCAAAUUUGGGCAUAGGGGCGAAAGACUAAUCGAACUAUCUAGUAGCUGGUUCCUGCCGAAGUUUCCCUCAGGAUAGCAGUAACGUUUUCAGUUUUAUGAGGUAAAGCGAAUGAUUAGAGGCCUGGGGGUUGAAACAACCUUCACCUAUUCUCAAACUUUAAAUAUGU